GACGAACGCUGGCGGCGUGCUUAACACAUGCAAGUCGAACGAACAGACCCUGCUCUUGCUGCGUGCUCGAUCGCCGAACGCGUGUGUAACACGUGAGUAUCCUCCCCUUGUCUUUCUGAUAUCUUCAGGGAACUGGGGCUCAUAUCGCAUAGGAUCUCCUGCUGCGUGGUGGUGGUUGGAAAGAUUCGGCGGUUGUGGAUGGACUCGCGGCUUCUCAGCUUGUUGGUGUGGUAGUGGCUUACGAAGCCUGUGACGGGUAGCCGGCCUGAGAGGGUGACCGGGCACAUGGGGACUGAGAUACGGCCCAGACUCCUACGGGAGGCAGCAGGGGGGAAUAUGGCACAAUGGGCGGAAGCCUGAUGCAGCAACGCCGCGUGCGGGAUGACGGCCUACGGGGUGUAAACCGCUGUGGAAGGUGACAAAGCGUGAGUGACGGUAAUGGGUAAAGAAGCACCGGCUAACUACGUG
RNAcentral lists this ribosomal RNA (468 nucleotides) under uncultured bacterium. RNAcentral describes it as "partial 16S ribosomal RNA". It matches the Rfam family "Bacterial small subunit ribosomal RNA", at positions 28 to 507 of the family's 1533-position model. The record is from RNAcentral.